This 294-nucleotide unclassified non-coding RNA is filed under the name Hevea brasiliensis (rubber tree). Lineage: Eukaryota; Viridiplantae; Streptophyta; Magnoliopsida; Malpighiales; Euphorbiaceae. The record is from RNAcentral.
GAUCAGUUGAAGCAGCAGCCAAGGCAUGUUUUAUUAAAAUUUUCAGGCUUGUAUUGUCACCAAGCGGAAAAAUGCAGUUAAUAUUGCUGUCUGCUAAAUCUAGCAAUUGUUGGUGUUAGCAUUUGAUGAGAAUACUUUGUGCUUUUCUCAUGAUAUUUUACUUAUGCUAGAUAAUUAAUUACUGAUUUUCAUUUUUAUGUCUUUUCAACUAAAAAAAAACCUGAUUGUCUCGAAGAAUUUUCACUUUUGUAGAAUGUAUUUAUUCCAUUUUUGUUGUAUUUUACUUGAUGCUGG